RNAcentral lists this ribosomal RNA (472 nucleotides) under uncultured bacterium. Its description in RNAcentral is "bacterial SSU rRNA". It matches the Rfam family "Bacterial small subunit ribosomal RNA", at positions 335 to 799 of the family's 1533-position model. The record is from RNAcentral.
ACUCCUACGGGAGGCAGCAGUGGGGAAUAUUGCACAAUGGGGGAAACCCUGAUGCAGCCAUGCCGCGUGUGUGAAGAAGGCCUUCGGGUUGUAAAGCACUUUCAGUAGGGAGGAAGGUAGUGUAGUUAACACCUGCACUAUUUGACGUUACCUACAGAAGAAGCACCGGCUAACUCCGUGCCAGCAGCCGCGGUAAUACGGAGGGUGCGAGCGUUAAUCGGAAUUACUGGGCGUAAAGCGCAUGCAGGCGGCCUGUUAAGUCAGAUGUGAAAGCCCGGGGCUUAACCUCGGAAUUGCAUUUGAAACUGGCAGGCUAGAGUCUUGUAGAGGGGGGUAGAAUUUCAGGUGUAGCGGUGAAAUGCGUAGAGAUCUGAAGGAUACCAGUGGCGAAGGCGGCCCCCUGGACAAAGACUGACGCUCAGAUGCGAAAGCUGGGGGAGCAAACAGGAUUAGAUACCCUGGGAGCACAGAG